UACGAUGGGUGCAAGCGUUACUCGGAAUUACUGGGCGUAAAGCGUGCGUAGGUGGUUUGUUAAGUCUGUUGUGAAAGCCCCGGGCUCAACCUGGGAAUGGCAAUGGAUACUGGCAAGCUAGAGUGCGGUAGAGGGUAGUGGAAUUCCCGGUGUAGCGGUGAAAUGCGUAGAGAUCGGGAGGAACACCAGUGGCGAAGGCGGCUACCUGGACCAACACUGACGCUCAGGCACGAAAGCGUGGGGAUCAAACAGG
This 253-nucleotide ribosomal RNA is filed under the name uncultured bacterium. RNAcentral's name for it is "partial 16S ribosomal RNA". It matches the Rfam family "Bacterial small subunit ribosomal RNA", at positions 524 to 776 of the family's 1533-position model. The record is from RNAcentral.